Molecule: ribosomal RNA, 2905 nt
Filed under: Escherichia coli
Lineage: Bacteria; Pseudomonadati; Pseudomonadota; Gammaproteobacteria; Enterobacterales; Enterobacteriaceae
Description: 23S ribosomal RNA
Rfam family: Bacterial large subunit ribosomal RNA
Source: RNAcentral
GGUUAAGCGACUAAGCGUACACGGUGGAUGCCCUGGCAGUCAGAGGCGAUGAAGGACGUGCUAAUCUGCGAUAAGCGUCGGUAAGGUGAUAUGAACCGUUAUAACCGGCGAUUUCCGAAUGGGGAAACCCAGUGUGAUUCGUCACACUAUCAUUAACUGAAUCCAUAGGUUAAUGAGGCGAACCGGGGGAACUGAAACAUCUAAGUACCCCGAGGAAAAGAAAUCAACCGAGAUUCCCCCAGUAGCGGCGAGCGAACGGGGAGGAGCCCAGAGCCUGAAUCAGUGUGUGUGUUAGUGGAAGCGUCUGGAAAGGCGCGCGAUACAGGGUGACAGCCCCGUACACAAAAAUGCACAUACUGUGAGCUCGAUGAGUAGGGCGGGACACGUGGUAUCCUGUCUGAAUAUGGGGGGACCAUCCUCCAAGGCUAAAUACUCCUGACUGACCGAUAGUGAACCAGUACCGUGAGGGAAAGGCGAAAAGAACCCCGGCGAGGGGAGUGAAAAAGAACCUGAAACCGUGUACGUACAAGCAGUGGGAGCCUCUUAAUGGGGUGACUGCGUACCUUUUGUAUAAUGGGUCAGCGACUUAUAUUCUGUAGCAAGGUUAACCGAAUAGGGGAGCCGAAGGGAAACCGAGUCUUAACUGGGCGUUAAGUUGCAGGGUAUAGACCCGAAACCCGGUGAUCUAGCCAUGGGCAGGUUGAAGGUUGGGUAACACUAACUGGAGGACCGAACCGACUAAUGUUGAAAAAUUAGCGGAUGACUUGUGGCUGGGGGUGAAAGGCCAAUCAAACCGGGAGAUAGCUGGUUCUCCCCGAAAGCUAUUUAGGUAGCGCCUCGUGAAUUCAUCUCCGGGGGUAGAGCACUGUUUCGGCAAGGGGGUCAUCCCGACUUACCAACCCGAUGCAAACUGCGAAUACCGGAGAAUGUUAUCACGGGAGACACACGGCGGGUGCUAACGUCCGUCGUGAAGAGGGAAACAACCCAGACCGCCAGCUAAGGUCCCAAAGUCAUGGUUAAGUGGGAAACGAUGUGGGAAGGCCCAGACAGCCAGGAUGUUGGCUUAGAAGCAGCCAUCAUUUAAAGAAAGCGUAAUAGCUCACUGGUCGAGUCGGCCUGCGCGGAAGAUGUAACGGGGCUAAACCAUGCACCGAAGCUGCGGCAGCGACGCUUAUGCGUUGUUGGGUAGGGGAGCGUUCUGUAAGCCUGCGAAGGUGUGCUGUGAGGCAUGCUGGAGGUAUCAGAAGUGCGAAUGCUGACAUAAGUAACGAUAAAGCGGGUGAAAAGCCCGCUCGCCGGAAGACCAAGGGUUCCUGUCCAACGUUAAUCGGGGCAGGGUGAGUCGACCCCUAAGGCGAGGCCGAAAGGCGUAGUCGAUGGGAAACAGGUUAAUAUUCCUGUACUUGGUGUUACUGCGAAGGGGGGACGGAGAAGGCUAUGUUGGCCGGGCGACGGUUGUCCCGGUUUAAGCGUGUAGGCUGGUUUUCCAGGCAAAUCCGGAAAAUCAAGGCUGAGGCGUGAUGACGAGGCACUACGGUGCUGAAGCAACAAAUGCCCUGCUUCCAGGAAAAGCCUCUAAGCAUCAGGUAACAUCAAAUCGUACCCCAAACCGACACAGGUGGUCAGGUAGAGAAUACCAAGGCGCUUGAGAGAACUCGGGUGAAGGAACUAGGCAAAAUGGUGCCGUAACUUCGGGAGAAGGCACGCUGAUAUGUAGGUGAAGUCCCUUGCGGAUGGAGCUGAAAUCAGUCGAAGAUACCAGCUGGCUGCAACUGUUUAUUAAAAACACAGCACUGUGCAAACACGAAAGUGGACGUAUACGGUGUGACGCCUGCCCGGUGCCGGAAGGUUAAUUGAUGGGGUUAGCGGUAACGCGAAGCUCUUGAUCGAAGCCCCGGUAAACGGCGGCCGUAACUAUAACGGUCCUAAGGUAGCGAAAUUCCUUGUCGGGUAAGUUCCGACCUGCACGAAUGGCGUAAUGAUGGCCAGGCUGUCUCCACCCGAGACUCAGUGAAAUUGAACUCGCUGUGAAGAUGCAGUGUACCCGCGGCAAGACGGAAAGACCCCGUGAACCUUUACUAUAGCUUGACACUGAACAUUGAGCCUUGAUGUGUAGGAUAGGUGGGAGGCUUUGAAGUGUGGACGCCAGUCUGCAUGGAGCCGACCUUGAAAUACCACCCUUUAAUGUUUGAUGUUCUAACGUUGGCCCCUAAUCGGGGUUGCGGACAGUGUCUGGUGGGUAGUUUGACUGGGGCGGUCUCCUCCUAAAGAGUAACGGAGGAGCACGAAGGUUGGCUAAUCCUGGUCGGACAUCAGGAGGUUAGUGCAAUGGCAUAAGCCAGCUUGACUGCGAGCGUGACGGCGCGAGCAGGUGCGAAAGCAGGUCAUAGUGAUCCGGUGGUUCUGAAUGGAAGGGCCAUCGCUCAACGGAUAAAAGGUACUCCGGGGAUAACAGGCUGAUACCGCCCAAGAGUUCAUAUCGACGGCGGUGUUUGGCACCUCGAUGUCGGCUCAUCACAUCCUGGGGCUGAAGUAGGUCCCAAGGGUAUGGCUGUUCGCCAUUUAAAGUGGUACGCGAGCUGGGUUUAGAACGUCGUGAGACAGUUCGGUCCCUAUCUGCCGUGGGCGCUGGAGAACUGAGGGGGGCUGCUCCUAGUACGAGAGGACCGGAGUGGACGCAUCACUGGUGUUCGGGUUGUCAUGCCAAUGGCACUGCCCGGUAGCUAAAUGCGGAAGAGAUAAGUGCUGAAAGCAUCUAAGCACGAAACUUGCCCCGAGAUGAGUUCUCCCUGACUCCCUGAGAGUCCUGAAGGAACGUUGAAGACGACGACGUUGAUAGGCCGGGUGUGUAAGCGCAGCGAUGCGUUGAGCUAACCGGUACUAAUGAACCGUGAGGCUUAACCUU